This 498-nucleotide ribosomal RNA is filed under the name uncultured bacterium. RNAcentral's name for it is "partial 16S ribosomal RNA". It matches the Rfam family "Bacterial small subunit ribosomal RNA", at positions 28 to 523 of the family's 1533-position model. The record is from RNAcentral.
GACGAACGCUGGCGGCGUGCCUAACACAUGCAAGUCGAGCGGAGUCAGUAAGAGGAAGUUUUCGGAUGGAAUCUUAUUGAUUUAGCGGCGGACGGGUGAGUAACGCGUGAGCGACCAACCUUGCACAGGGGGAUAACGGACCGAAAGGUUCACUAAUACCGCAUGAGACCACGGUGUUGCAUGACACAGGGGUCAAAGGAGCAAUCCGGUGCAAGACGGGCUCGCGUCCGAUUAGGUAGUUGGAGGGGUAACGGCCCACCAAGCCUAUGAUCGGUAGCCGACCUGAGAGGGUGAUCGGCCACAUUGAAACUGAGAUACGGUCCAAACUCCUACGGGAGGCAGCAGUGGGGAAUAUUGGGCAAUGGGGGAAACCCUGACCCAGCAACGCCGCGUGAAGGAAGAAGGUUUUCGGAUUGUAAACUUCUGUCCUUGGUGAAGAGAAGAAGACGGUAGCCAGGGAGGAAGCCCCGGCUAACUACGCGCCAGCAGCCGCCGUAA